RNAcentral lists this ribosomal RNA (433 nucleotides) under uncultured bacterium. RNAcentral's name for it is "partial 16S ribosomal RNA". It matches the Rfam family "Bacterial small subunit ribosomal RNA", at positions 29 to 507 of the family's 1533-position model. The record is from RNAcentral.
AACGAACGCUGGCGGCAGGCCUAACACAUGCAAGUCGAGCGGACCGUCCGGGGUCAGCGGCGGAUGGGUGUGUAACGCGAGGGAAUAUGCCCUUCUCUACGGAAUAGCCCUGGGAAACGGGGGGUAAUACCGUAUACGCCCUAAGGGGGGAAGAUUUAUCGGGGAAGGAUUAGCCCGCGUUGGAUUAGGUAGUUGGUGGGGUAAUCGACUACCAAGCCGACGAUCCGUAGCUGGGUUGAGAGGAUGAUCAGCCACACUGGGACUGAGACACGGCCCAGACUCCUACGGGAGGCAGCAGUGGGGAAUCUUAGAACAUGGGGGCAACCCUGAUCGAGCCAUGCCGCGUGAGUGAUGAAGGCCUUAGGGUUGUAAAGCUCUUUCAGCUGGGAAGAUAAUGACGGUACCAGCAGAAGAAGCCCCGGCUAACUCCGUG